CCCUCAUUCUGAUACCUGUCAUGCCCAAACUGCUCUCAAAGGCUCAUGUGCUGUUACCUCCUGAGAGUCUGCGUAUCAGUAUGUUUCUGUGCUAAUGUAAUUGAUUGAGUAAUGUGGGAAGAGCAACAGGCAAAGGGCAGGAUACUGGAAGCUGGGUAUAGGGUCCCCUUACCUGAUUUAUGUUGCUGAUUUUCCCAAAUACUGAUAAAAAUGAAUUGAUCUCUAGGUGGAAAACAGGAGGAACCCCAGACUACAUAGUAAGUAGAAAAUGAAAUAAAUGCUGCAUGUCAUUUAGAUAGAGCUCAGCCCUGAGUCACGAAGUCUUUUCAGAACAAAGGAAUAGUUCUCCCUUAUCUGAAGCUCACUGUGGCCUUGGGAAGCCUGGCAUUGAGAAUUCUCUGCGUGUUCACUCUUGAGUUCUGUGCCUGCAUCACACAGCAAUAGAACAGUCCCAAAGGAUUCUUAAGGGUGGGGAAAGGCACUAAGAGAAGAUGAACCUGUAGCCCCUGUUAUACCAUCUGGUCUAAUUGAUACUGCUGUUAUCAAGCAAAAGGAGCUGUCUCCCUGAGGCACUGGAAGCCAAUAUUUUGACACCAGGUUUUUGAGAAAGAAAAACUUUUUAUUGCAGAGCCAGGUGUACAGGAUGGAGCAUGAAGGCGGACUAGGAGCGUGACCACUGAAGCACAGCAUCACAGGGAGAUGAUUAGGCCUCCGGAUAACUGCGGGAGGGCCUGACAUCAGUCAGGCCCUCCACAAGAGGUGGAGGAAUAGAGUCUUCUCUGAACUCCUCUGGGGAAAGGGAGACUUUCCCUAGCGGGUGUUUUUCCUUGACACUGACGCUACCGCUAGACCACGGUUCGCUUGGCAACAGGCAUCUUCCCAGACGCUGGCAUUACUGCUAGACCAGGAAGCCCUCUAGUGGCCCUGUCUGGGCAUAACAGAAGGCUCACACUUGUCUUCCAGUCACUUCUCACUAUGUCCCCUCAGCUCCUAUCUCUGGCCUGGUUGUUCCUAGGUUAUAAGUGUAGAGCAAGGAUUAUUAUAAGAUUGAAAUAAAGAGUAAUUGCUACAAA
Molecule: non-coding RNA, 1073 nt
Organism: Macaca mulatta (Rhesus monkey)
Lineage: Eukaryota; Metazoa; Chordata; Mammalia; Primates; Cercopithecidae
Source: RefSeq, a predicted model, not a curated record